UCUGCUCUUCCGCUCCUCUCCUCUUUCGCCUCACCGUCGCUUUAAAGGAAUGCCUUUUGGGCUUUGAUGUAAACGGCAGGCCUAUCUUCACGUGGGAUGUCGUGAGAGAAUAAGUAAAUAGAUCACGUCCAGCCAUCUAGAUCAGAAUUUCUUCAGUAAAGCAGGAUAUUCGAUCGACGAUAGAAAAGAAACAAACGGUAAAUCUAUGGCAUCCGAUUG
RNAcentral lists this long non-coding RNA (219 nucleotides) under Elaeis guineensis (African oil palm). Its description in RNAcentral is "long non-coding RNA (EGUI_LNC066169)". Lineage: Eukaryota; Viridiplantae; Streptophyta; Magnoliopsida; Arecales; Arecaceae. The record is from RNAcentral.